AGCACAAGAGCAGGUGAGGGCAGCCAAGAGACUUGGCAGUGGAUUUCAGGCCUGAGAAAGCUGCUUAAUUUCAAGGUUAACCUGAAGGACUCUGCCCUUGAGACUGGCCCCUGGCCUCACCUGAAGACAGAGGCCAUCAGACAUCCCAGCAGCAGAAGCCUGGACAGUCUGAAUAAAUGGGAAUAGCCUUCUGGAAAAUGAAGAAUGCUUGGAUUUGCAAGAACUGUAUUCAGCCAAGGCUGGAUUAUCUGCAAAGAGGCCCAGCUGUGAGAUACAGUAAGUUCAAGAUGUCAGAGGCCAGGCCGCCUCCCCUGCUCGGGCAGCACACAACGCACAUCCUGAAGGAGGUCCUGAGAUACGAUGACAGGGCCAUCGGGGAGCUGCUCAGUGCUGGAGUGGUGGACCAACAUGAAACUCACUGACAAAGGAAAAGGGCUCUUCCUCAUAACCUC
This 452-nucleotide small RNA is filed under the name Pan troglodytes (chimpanzee). RNAcentral describes it as "processed transcript". The record is from RNAcentral. Lineage: Eukaryota; Metazoa; Chordata; Mammalia; Primates; Hominidae.